Molecule: ribosomal RNA, 731 nt
Filed under: Staphylococcus pseudintermedius
Lineage: Bacteria; Bacillati; Bacillota; Bacilli; Caryophanales; Staphylococcaceae
Description: partial 23S ribosomal RNA
Rfam family: Bacterial large subunit ribosomal RNA
Source: RNAcentral
UCCUAAGGCUAAAUACUCUCUAGUGACCGAUAGUGAACCAGUACCGUGAGGGAAAGGUGAAAAGUACCCCGGAAGGGGAGUGAAAGAGAACUUGAAACCGUGUGCUUACAAGUAGUCAGAGCCCGUUAAUGGGUGAUGGCGUGCCUUUUGUAGAAUGAACCGGCGAGUUACGAUCUGAUGCAAGGUUAAGCAGAAAAUGUGGAGCCGUAGCGAAAGCGAGUCUGAAUAGGGCGAAUGAGUAUUUGGUCGUAGACCCGAAACCAGGUGAUCUACCCUUGGUCAGGUUGAAGUUCAGGUAACACUGAAUGGAGGACCGAACCGACUUACGUUGAAAAGUGAGCGGAUGAACUGAGGGUAGCGGAGAAAUUCCAAUCGAACUUGGAGAUAGCUGGUUCUCUCCGAAAUAGCUUUAGGGCUAGCCUCAAGUGAUGAUUAUUGGAGGUAGAGCACUGUUUGGACGAGGGGCCCCUCUCGGGUUACCGAAUUCAGACAAACUCCGAAUGCCAAAUAAUUUAACUUGGGAGUCAGAAUGUGGGUGAUAAGGUCCAUAUUCGAAAGGGAAACAGCCCAGACCACCAGCUAAGGUCCCAAAAUAUAUGUUAAGUGGAAAAGGAUGUGGCGUUGCCCAGACAACUAGGAUGUUGGCUUAGAAGCAGCCAUCAUUUAAAGAGUGCGUAAUAGCUCACUAGUCGAGUGACACUGCGCCGAAAAUGUACCGGGGCUAAACAUAU